RNAcentral lists this ribosomal RNA (252 nucleotides) under uncultured bacterium. RNAcentral's name for it is "partial 16S ribosomal RNA". It matches the Rfam family "Bacterial small subunit ribosomal RNA", at positions 524 to 776 of the family's 1533-position model. The record is from RNAcentral.
UACGUAGGGGGCUAGCGUUAUCCGGAAUUACUGGGCGUAAAGGGUGCGUAGGUGGUUUCUUAAGUCAGAGGUGAAAGGCUACGGCUCAACCGUAGUAAGCCUUUGAAACUGGGGAACUUGAGUGCAGGAGAGGAGAGUGGAAUUCCUAGUGUAGCGGUAAAAUGCGUAGAUAUUAGGAGGAACACCAGUUGCGAAGGCGGCUCUCUGGACUGUAACUGACACUGAGGCACGAAAGCGUGGGGAGCAAACAGG